GCAAGUGGAGAUGAAUUGUUCAAUCCCUGGGUUCAUCAGAGGCAAACAUACUCACAAAUGUCUUUUGUUUUGUUUUGCUUUGUUUCUCUUUGUGUGUGUGGUCCUAGUGCUUGCCCAGAGAUUGACAGUGGGUAUCUUUCCUGAGCAAUCUACACUUUCUUUACUGUGUCCUGUUCUCUGUCUGAACACAGAUCCAGCAGCUCUGCCCCCAGGGAUCACCUGUCUCUGCUUCCAGAAUGCAGGGAUGACAAGAGGACCACGGCAGGCACCUGGUUUCCAUGUGGAUGCUGGAUCAAAACUGGGGUUCAGCAUUUGAUAAGACAGUGACUCCAUGCUGUAUAUGUUACUCAUACCAGAUCUGAUGCUGUGGCUGUGGGUCCCCUUGGAAAGGGGAAUGAUCAAGUGGCAACACUGCCGUGUCCCAGCUAAUUUCUUAGGAGAAUUACAUACAGACAUGAAGGAACUUGCUUCCGUUGAUUACUUGCUGCUGAAACAUCAUAUGGGCUAUGAACAGUGUGCUGAGUUGGGAGGCCAGCCUGACCCAGGAUAGAAGCUCAGAAGGAAACUGAGCAAUGAAGGACAGAUGGGUGGCUCCAGAAUUUGAUCCACACUAUGGCCUUGUAAGACCCCCAGAAAGCUCAGGCCUCCAGGAUCUCAGCCCAGGACCUCGGUCAUCCCAAUCACCAGGUGGAUUCAAAAGCUUGAUGCAAAUUGCAUGAGGUUUUAUUGUUGUUUAAUGAGCUAACCCCAUGUUAGCUCGGGUCUUUCAUCCACCCACCAUGGCGGAUGGCUAGAAAAGACAGCUCAAAGCAUCUGCAUAGAGAUUUUAUAGGGCAGCAUAAGGGGAGUGUCUAGGGAUACGCACAGGCUCAGGAUUGGUGUGGCUCCAGGCUUGGAGGGCUUGCCCUGUGUUGAUUGGUCAACUGGUUGUUAUGGCCCAUAGGUCCUCCUAGGGUGGUUGCUAUGCUCUGCAUGUCAUUGCUGUGCACUUGUUUGUAAAGCACACCCAGAGCCGUAAUGCAUAGCGCCACCAGCUAACUUCUAAUUGGUUCCUUGCCACGAGGCAGGCAUUUAACCUCUUAGUGACUAAGGCAAGGUCAGACAAGCAUGUGUUCGGCUGUUAUGGCUGCUGAAAUGGGGAGCUGGUCCCUUCAGCCUCAGGCUCAGAGCUUUCUUUUUUUUUUUUUUUCUUGGUUUCGAGACAGGGUUUCU
Molecule: long non-coding RNA, 1212 nt
Filed under: Cricetulus griseus (Chinese hamster)
Lineage: Eukaryota; Metazoa; Chordata; Mammalia; Rodentia; Cricetidae
Description: lncRNA (ENSCGRG00015028973.1)
Source: RNAcentral